This 398-nucleotide ribosomal RNA is filed under the name uncultured bacterium. Its description in RNAcentral is "partial 16S ribosomal RNA". It matches the Rfam family "Bacterial small subunit ribosomal RNA", at positions 360 to 776 of the family's 1533-position model. The record is from RNAcentral.
AAUAUUUCACAAUGGAGGAAACGCUGAUGCAGCGACGCCGCGUGAGUGAAGAAGGACUUCGGAUCGUACCACUCUGUCCUUGGUGAAGAUAAUGACGGUAGCCAAGGAGGCAGCCCCGGCUAACUACGUGCCAGCAGCCGCGGUAAUAGGUAGGGGGCUAGCGUUGUCCGGAUUUACUGGGCGUAAAGGGUGAGUAGGCGGUUAUGUAUGUCAGAUGUAAAAGGCGUGGGCUUAACUUACGUUAGCAUUUGAAACUGCAUAACUUGAGUGCGGGAGAGGUAAGUGGAAUUCCUAGUGUAGCGGUGAAAUGCGUAGAUAUUAGGAGGAACACCAGUGGCGAAGGCGACUUACUGGACCGUAACUGACGCUGAGUCACGAAAGCGUGGGUAGCAAACAGG